AUUGCGCAUGACGCAGUGCAGGCGCAAUAGACGUUCCUUGACUUCCGCGUAUAGAAGGUAUAAAUAUCGAUGCCUCCGGUUUCUCCGGCCUUUUGGGGAAAGACUGCUGCGCCUGCUGUGGCGUGUUUGUGUUCAUUCGGGAUUCGGGAUAGCUUGAUUUGGGGAGAGAAGAGGAGCCUCGCUAAUUUUGCAGUUAACGCUAAUGCUUUGGGGUCCUUUAUUUGGCAGGGAGAGUUGGUAAAGUGAGUAAUACACUAUUUUUGGAAGAUAAAGCCUGGACGGCCUGAAAAUGUUUGGGCACAGUGUUUACCCUAGAACUGCACCUUAAAACCCAGCAGAGUAAUAGGUGGUUCUGUUGCCCAGGGGCCCACUGAAAUUUUUAAGGAUUUCCAAAUGAUACUGGUGUGUGGGCAGGUCUGUUAAAACAGUAUAGUCUUGACCUAGGAGGCCCAGAGACCUUUCCACGUUUCCUAUGAAUUGGAACCUUGUCAUGAUAACACUAAUAUACUACUUAGCCUUUUUUUUUUUUUUUUACCAUUCUGAAGUGGUAUUUUCUAACAGUGAGUGAAAAGCAGAUGCCCAUGAGAACCUAAAUGUCCUAUUAAAAGAAAUCCAUGUCAGUUUCUAAUGUACUCAUAAAUAAAGAUGAUAGUAUACA
This is a long non-coding RNA of Camelus dromedarius (Arabian camel), 658 nucleotides long. RefSeq lists it as uncharacterized. NCBI's taxonomy places the organism in Eukaryota, Metazoa, Chordata, Mammalia, Artiodactyla, Camelidae. The transcript is spliced from 3 exons. The record is from RefSeq and is a predicted model, not a curated record.